This 75-nucleotide transfer RNA is filed under the name mine drainage metagenome. RNAcentral's name for it is "tRNA-Met". It matches the Rfam family "tRNA". From Rfam's summary of the family: Transfer RNA (tRNA) molecules are approximately 80 nucleotides in length. Their secondary structure includes four short double-helical elements and three loops (D, anti-codon, and T loops). The record is from RNAcentral.
GGCGGCGUAGCUCAGUUGGUAGAGCACACGGCUCAUAAUCGUGAAGUCGCGGUUCGAGUCCCGCCGCCGCUACCA